CGCUUGAAUCCCCUUGCCAUCAUCGCAAUCAGAACCCUUUGGAAAAAAUCAAUUCUAAGGACGGUUAAAUCCUCCGACCACCAGUUAACUAUAGACUUCGGGUUCGAAAACAUGGAGGAAGUCAAUCCAUCGAUACCAGCUUCUGCUCAACCUGAUGUGGAGAAUUGGUUAUCCUUACAGGCUAUAUAUGCAAUUGUGUCAAUGCAGCGGCUCACCAAUUUCACUUUCUCUGAAAUGGGAAUAAGAUUUUCUGAUGAAUGCAAAAUUGUAACAGCACUAUCAAGGCUCUCAAUUCCUACUUCACUAAAGUAGUCCUCAGUUCUUCCCACCAAAUUUGCAACUGCAUAGUCUUCUGUCAUCUCAAGAUAUUCUGCUGCACAUCUCAGCAAGGCAAUGUUUCUUGUGCUUAUCUCAAAAUUUAUUCCAUAACAAAACUUUGCUGCAAGUUCAAAUGCCUCUCCUCCACCGGGUAUAUCAGGGAUUUCGAUCGUAGAAACGUCAGCAUCAUUGGAUUCCGAGACCAACUUCCUUAUGUAUCCACUCUUUGAAACUAAUGGGAACUUGUGUAGUGUAAAGGAGAUUCCUGCGGCAUUUACAGUCACAUCACUUGGGAUCUCCUGGGAGAAAAUCCAUUGAGAGGUCCUCUUUGUAGCAGAGAAAAGAAGCUCCUUUUUAGUGGACAUACUGUUUAGAGUAGAAGGUUGUUCAUUAUCAAGAUCAACAUGUCAUCCACCAUGGGUGAUCGAGUCUUUUACGGGCCUUAACCAUGUUCAUUCGUUUUCCCUUAAACUAUUUCCUAAUGAAGCAAACAAUAGAAAGACAUGUUUGUUGCCAUUUUCUUUGCUUCUGUAAGUUCAAUUUUUUCCCUCAUAAGAGCAUAUAAUCAAAACUAUCCAGCCCGGUAAUAAUUGCAGUAUAU
This 919-nucleotide unclassified non-coding RNA is filed under the name Hevea brasiliensis (rubber tree). Lineage: Eukaryota; Viridiplantae; Streptophyta; Magnoliopsida; Malpighiales; Euphorbiaceae. The record is from RNAcentral.